AGUGUAUAGUGAUAACAUUUUUCAACGGCAUUUUACAAUACAUCCUUGUGGCAAUGGUACAGUGUUUCGUUUCAGUCGACAUUCAUGCUUUUGUUAUAAGUGGUGAGUAAUGCCCUGUUUUUGGUACCCAGUAGGCUGGGCACGCUCUCUGGCGUGUGCUAAGUGGUGUCCCCCGGGCACCUGGGGGGUAGCCCCCCACCU
Pelobates cultripes (western spadefoot toad) is the source of this 201-nucleotide non-coding RNA. The record is from the annotation of a GenBank genome assembly. Lineage: Eukaryota; Metazoa; Chordata; Amphibia; Anura; Pelobatidae.